UCCACUGUUGCGUUUUUCAUACGUACGUACACGCACGUAAAACUUUAAAUCCGUUUAAAUGUUACUUAUGAAAUAACCAAAUAAAUAAAGCAACAGAAUUUAGUGUUCCGCAAGUUUUAGUAUGCAUUUGUUAACUUAUUUGUAAAAUAUUUAAAAAAAAUAGAAGGACUCAAAAUUUUACGUGCGUGUACGUGCGUACGAAAAACGCAACAGUGGA
RNAcentral lists this microRNA precursor (217 nucleotides) under Paramuricea clavata. Lineage: Eukaryota; Metazoa; Cnidaria; Anthozoa; Malacalcyonacea; Plexauridae. The record is from RNAcentral.